ACGUCACCAUCCCCCACCUACUACUACAUGUAGCGCCCCCACCACCACCAUGCCGCGCGCGCUCCCUCCCCUCUCCUCCCCCCACCACCACCACAAGAACCGCGUCAACACCACCUGCCAUUGCCGCGCCGAGCUGAGCCUCUAGCCGCGCCAGGAGGGCGCCCGCCUCUGCCUGCCUGCCUGCCUGCCUGCCUGCCGACAUCUUCGGUAGUUGAUGGAGUUGCACAAGUACUGGGGCGUCGGUGGCAGGCGGUGCGGCAGCUGCGAGGCGGCGCCGGCGGCGGUGCACUGCCGCUCGUGCCCCGCGGGGGGCGCGUUCCUCUGCACGGCUUGCGACGCGCGCCCGGGGCACGCGCGGCUCGCCCACGAGCGCGUGUGGAUGUGCGAGGUCUGCGAGCUGGCGCCCGCCGCCGUCACGUGCAAGGCCGACGCUGCCGUGCUCUGCGCCGCCUGCGACGCCGACAUCCACGAAGCCAACCCGCUGGCGCGCCGCCACGUGCGCGUCCCCGUCGCGCCCAUCGGAUCGGAGGCCGCGGCCGCCGCCGUCGAGGCCAUGCUUUUCGGGACCGCCGAGGCGGCCGCGUCCGAGGCCGAUGAGCCGCACAACGCCACGGCCG
Molecule: long non-coding RNA, 617 nt
Filed under: Setaria italica (foxtail millet)
Lineage: Eukaryota; Viridiplantae; Streptophyta; Magnoliopsida; Poales; Poaceae
Description: long non-coding RNA (SITA_LNC003164)
Source: RNAcentral